This 579-nucleotide ribosomal RNA is filed under the name Scinax fuscomarginatus (brown-bordered snouted treefrog). Its description in RNAcentral is "partial 16S ribosomal RNA". It matches the Rfam family "Bacterial large subunit ribosomal RNA", at positions 1829 to 2596 of the family's 2925-position model. Lineage: Eukaryota; Metazoa; Chordata; Amphibia; Anura; Hylidae. The record is from RNAcentral.
CGCCUCUUGACUAAAUAUAAGAGGUCCAGCCUGCCCAGUGACUAAUGUUCAACGGCCGCGGUAUCCUAACCGUGCAAAGGUAGCGUAAUCACUUGUUCUUUAAAUGGGGACUUGUAUGAAUGGCAUCACGAGGGUUAUACUGUCUCCUUUUUCUAAUCAGUGAAUCUAAUCUCCCCGUGAAGAAACGGGGAUACAACUAUAAGACGAGAAGACCCUAUGGAGCUUUAAAUACCUCUUCAAACGUUGGACCUUCCCCCCCAGUUUUUAACUCACUUAUAUUAACCCUGAACGCCAUGAAGACAACUUUUAGGUUGGGGUGACCGCGGAGAACAACAAAACCUCCACGCUGAAUCAGACUUUCUAAGCCUGAACUAAGAGCCACCGCUCAAUGCACUAAAAAAUUAACAUCUAUUGACCCAAUACAUCACUUGAUCAACGAACCAAGUUACCCUAGGGAUAACAGCGCAAUCCAUUUCAAGAGUCCAUAUCGACAAGUGGGUUUACGACCUCGAUGUUGGAUCAGGGUAUCCCAGUGGUGCAGCCGCUACUAAUGGUUCGUUUGUUCAACGAUUAAAACCC